This 376-nucleotide ribosomal RNA is filed under the name uncultured bacterium. RNAcentral describes it as "bacterial SSU rRNA". It matches the Rfam family "Bacterial small subunit ribosomal RNA", at positions 524 to 898 of the family's 1533-position model. The record is from RNAcentral.
GACGAAGGUGGCAAGCGUUGUUCGGAAUUAUUGGGCUUAAAGCGCAUGCAGGCGGGAAGUUAAGUGUUCUGUGAAAUCCCUCGGCUUAACCGAGGACUAGCGGGGCAAACUAGCUUUCUUGAGGCAAGUAGGGGUGUAUGGAACUCUAGGUGGAGCGGUGAAAUGCGUAGAUAUCUAGAGGAACGCCAGCGGAGAAAUCGGUACACUGGACUUGUUCUGACGCUGAGGUGCGAAAGCGUGGGUAGCGAACGGGAUUAGAUACCCCGGUAGUCCACGCUGUAAACGAUGUCUACUAGGUCGUGGAGGUUCUGACACCUUCGCGGCCGAAGCAAAAGUGUUAAGUAGACCGCCUGGGGAGUACGAUCGCAAGGUUGAA